Mirounga angustirostris (Northern elephant seal) is the source of this 1958-nucleotide long non-coding RNA. RefSeq lists it as uncharacterized. Lineage: Eukaryota; Metazoa; Chordata; Mammalia; Carnivora; Phocidae. The transcript is spliced from 3 exons. The record is from RefSeq and is a predicted model, not a curated record.
CCGUGGGACGGCCACAGGGUCGGGGAGCGGUCCCAACAGGCCCGACGGCAACCCCCUGUGUGGGGCCUGGCCUCGUGGCACGCAGGGUCCCCAGGGGACACCUGAGGUUCGGAGAGGGGACGUGCCAGGCCCGAGACACACAGCCCGCAGGGCCAGCUCUCAAUGUUGCAAGAAAAAAUAGACCAUUUGGAGUGUUUGCUAGCUGAGAAUAAUGAGAUCAUCUCAAACAUUAGAGACUCGGUCAUCAAUUUGAGUGAGUCUGUGGAGGAUGGUCCAAAAAGUUCACAAGGCAAUUUCAGCCAAGGUGCUGGCGCACCUCUUCUGCCAUCAAAACAGUUGUCCCUUGUAGUGGACCCUGAAGACUGUUCGUUCGCUUUGCAAAGUGGAAGUCGGAAUUCAGAUGUGCAGAUGUUGGAUGUUUACAGUCUAAUUCCUUUUGACAAUCCAGAUGGUGGAGUUUGGAAACAAGGAUUUGACAUUAGCUAUUUAUUUAAUGAAUGGGACUCUAAGCCCCUUCAAGUCUUUGUGGUGCCUCAUUCCCAUAAUGACCCAGGUAAAAUUUACACUUCAAAAAAACUACAGGUUAUUAAGCCCCUGUACACACAGAGUAUUUUAACGAGAAUCUGGUAGAGCUGAUUUCUCAAGUUUUUGAGACACUAUUUGCUGACUUGUUCCAGCAACGUAUUCCUUUUAUUUUGAGUUUUUAUCAAUUUAUGUGCCAUUCAUGGAUAGUACUUGUGCAAUGUGAAAUAGUAAUAAACACAAGAAGGUCUUUGUUUUGGGGAUGAAAAGUUGAAUUCACUUAAGGUGCUGACUGUUCAUCGUAGUUACUUCUUGUAAAAUACUGCGUGGGAGAAUUAUUUUGUGUUCAUAAACUGUGCACUAAAAAAUGCAGAAUUCUCAUGGGAACGUUUGAAUCUUUAAAAUGGAAAAGCAAUGUAAAGUGGUUAAGAGCCUUGGUCAGGUGGACAUGAGUGUGGAGUCCCAACCCCAUGGUGUGAGACAACUUUACGCAAGUUACAGAAUGUGAAAGUAAGUAUUUUCGCGGGUAGAAUCAGAAUAAAGUAUCUACUUUAUAAGAUGAGUUGUAAAAGCGUGAUGCAUGGCCCCGGUAACUCCUGUCAUUAUCAUUAUUGUUAUUAUUUCAUAUGACAGCUUUUGUUAUUUAUUGGGGCUGGAGACCUUUUCCUCCAAGGUAAGGGAGAAUUGCUAAAAUUACAGUGGGAAAUAUGAUUCAAUGUAUAGAUUUGUUAGUGUGAGUACACUGGCACAGAGUAAAUACUUCAUGAAUUCUGUUGCAGAAUUUUUUGGGGAAUGUACUUCAAAAGACUUCCUUUGAGGACUGACUUACACUUCUAUUUGUUACUUUUCUCAAUUUUUCCAUUUCAUCAUUACUAAUCAGAGGCACCAUUAUUCACCUAGUACUUUGAAGGUUUUUUUCUUUACUCCCAGCAUUCAUUUAUCUCUGACUUAUAUCCUUUCCCAUUGAUUUAUUGGCAUAUGUUCCCUUCUGUUUCUAAGACAGUAGAACUUGUUGCUUUAGGUCUGGAUGGACACAUGAUUUGGUGAAGUUGUGUGUGUCUGUGUGUGCGUACACACGUGUGCUGCUUUGGAUGUGAAAGGUACUCGGACAGUUUGGAUGCUGAAAUGUUUGAAUUUCCAUAAAACUUCAAAAUUCAGUAUGCACAGAGGUCUGAAAUAUGUGAAAUCAAUAUUAUUUUGGAAAUUUGUGAUGAGCAUAUGUCACACCAGCUUCUGACUUGGUUUCUCUGUCUUUGGUCUUAAUGUCUUUAUCUUUUCUUACAAAUACCCAUCCAUCUUAUUAACCUUUCCUCUUAAAUGUUUUGCAUCUUCUUCCUCCUUAAUCUUAGCCUGUCCCUUCAAAUCCAAACUCCGAUGGCCAGGCAUCAUGGAAAGACUGCAGGGAUCUGGAGCCAGGCAGAAUGAGGCAGGCAUCC